GGCUCACCAAGGCGACGAUCCGUAACUGGUCUGAGAGGAUGAUCAAGUCACACUGGAACUUGAGACACGGUCCAGACUCCUACGGGAGGCAGCAGUGGGGAAUAUUGGACAAUGGGCGAAAGCCUUGAUCCAGCCAUGCCGCGUGUGUGAAGAAGGUCUUCGGAUUGUAAAGCACUUUAAGUUGGGAGGAAGGGCAGUUACCUAAUACGUGAUUGUUUUGACGUUACCGACAGAAUAAGCACCGGCUAACUCUGUGCCAGCAGCCGCGGUAAUACAGAGGGUGCAAGCGUUAAUCGGAAUUACUGGGCGUAAAGCGCGCGUAGGUGGUUUGUUAAGUUGGAUGUGAAAUCCCCGGGCUCAACCUGGGAACUGCAUUCAAAACUGACUGACUAGAGUAUGGUAGAGGGUGGUGGAAUUUCCUGUGUAGCGGUGAAAUGCGUAGAUAUAGGAAGGAACACCAGUGGCGAAGCGACCACCUGGACUAAUACUACACUGAGGUCGAA
RNAcentral lists this ribosomal RNA (503 nucleotides) under Pseudomonas sp. Z51. Its description in RNAcentral is "bacterial SSU rRNA". It matches the Rfam family "Bacterial small subunit ribosomal RNA", at positions 262 to 757 of the family's 1533-position model. Lineage: Bacteria; Pseudomonadati; Pseudomonadota; Gammaproteobacteria; Pseudomonadales; Pseudomonadaceae. The record is from RNAcentral.